GCCAACAUAGCUCAGCUGGUAGAGCUACUGAUUUGUAAUCAGUGGGUCGGGGGUUCGACUCCCUCUGUUGGCUCCA
RNAcentral lists this transfer RNA (76 nucleotides) under Desulfobacterales bacterium. Its description in RNAcentral is "tRNA-Thr". It matches the Rfam family "tRNA". Rfam says of the family: Transfer RNA (tRNA) molecules are approximately 80 nucleotides in length. Their secondary structure includes four short double-helical elements and three loops (D, anti-codon, and T loops). Further hydrogen bonds mediate the characteristic L-shaped molecular structure. tRNAs have two regions of fundamental functional importance: the anti-codon, which is responsible for specific mRNA codon recognition, and the 3' end, to which the tRNAs corresponding amino acid is attached (by aminoacyl-tRNA synthetases). tRNAs cope with the degeneracy of the genetic code in two manners: having more than one tRNA (with a specific anti-codon) for a particular amino acid; and 'wobble' base-pairing, i.e. permitting non-standard base-pairing at the 3rd anti-codon position. Lineage: Bacteria; Pseudomonadati; Thermodesulfobacteriota; Desulfobacteria; Desulfobacterales. The record is from RNAcentral. RNAcentral also lists the same sequence under 1 other name.